CCCCAUGCAUUUGACCUAUAAAUAAUUUUCUAACCUACACUUGUAAACUUUCACCCUUGAUACCUCCUCCUACCUCACGACACCCAUACCUAAACCCAUAAGUCUUACAUUUUCAAAUCUUGUUUCAAGAUUCCAAGUGUUGUUCCAAGUGCAAGCCUUCAAGUUCUAGUUCAUACACCUUACCUUCUCUCUGCUUGUUUUAUGGCAAAGCGGGAUCCGACUAUGACCCGACUAUAUAACCAGUUUUCUAAAGCCACAUCUUCCUUUCUCAUUUGAGAACCCUAUGUUUUGAUUGCAACCAGUUUUCUGCAGGUUGUUUAAAAACCCUAUUAUCUUUUUAUUUGAUAUUCAAACGUUUUUGGCGUUUCCGGUGAGUGAAGCGACGAUCUAUGUUCUGAUCUAUGUUUGAAACGGAAGUGAAGUUUGUCAGAUAAUGGCGUUUCCGGAGAGUGUAGCGGCGAUUCUAGCGGCGGUCGUUGUUACUGCUCCAAAAGAAGGGAAUUUUGUCUAUGAAGCUAAACUUGAGAUAUCUAGAAGCCAUUCUAGGUCAUUUAUAGUUUAUUUAGAUUUUACACACAUAUAUUUAAAUAUAUGCUUUUAUGCAAAAUUAUAUGGCUUUUCAACAAGGGGAUUAUAUGGUGUGGAAGCCAGAUUGAAGGAAUGUAUGCAGCUUGUCACACCCCGACCGCGUAAAACAACAAACCGCGGCGGAAACGCCGGGGAGGUGAGU
Molecule: long non-coding RNA, 730 nt
Organism: Helianthus annuus (common sunflower)
Lineage: Eukaryota; Viridiplantae; Streptophyta; Magnoliopsida; Asterales; Asteraceae
Exons: 3
Source: RefSeq, a predicted model, not a curated record